UAAGUGCAAGACAGACAAUGCAGG
This 24-nucleotide non-coding RNA is filed under the name Mus musculus (house mouse). The record is from RNAcentral. Lineage: Eukaryota; Metazoa; Chordata; Mammalia; Rodentia; Muridae.